UCUUCAAGUAUCAAUGUCAGCUCAGACAGUGUGUCCAAAGCCCUCUGUAUGUGUUUAUUCUUCUUUUCCCGGUGCAUAGUCACAUAAGUAAAUGGGCACAGGUCCCUUUGGGGCAGGACUGUGGAAAUCAUUACAGUUUAUACUUACGGUGUUGCAUAGUGGUUCCUUAGGAGCAGCCGUCUCUCCAUCACUGCAUUAUGGGUCUGAAAAUCAUCUCAGAUGCAGGAACUGAAGAGUGAAUUAUGAAUUUUUAUUGGCACAACCACCUUUGUCCUGCUGCAUCUCUGUUCUUGCCUGUUUCUGAUGAUAGAUGGCAAAUGGCAAUCUCUUUGGCUGCCCUUCUAUUUUUCCCCUGGAGACACCAGAUUCUUAGGUAUGACACGGAAUGCAAGGUCAGUAGCAGAAAGCAGUGAAUGGUAAGUUGGUUCUGCUUGUGAUCCAAGAAGGAAGUAAAAGACAUUCAAGGUAAAUACCGUGAAGACACAGAAGCCAAGGAGGUGAUGUGCCAGAAGCUAUCGUGGAAAGCUGGGGCCAAGGAUUAGGAGCUGAACACCACUAAGAAAAGUCUCAGAUCCAGCUCCUCCUCUGGCUACAGUUACACAAUGUUACAUACCUAGGCUCCAAAAGCAGAUGGAUUUGCAUUGGAACCCUAGGGCUCCUGUCUGCUGUGUGACUUUGAACAAGGCUCCUGACCCUCUCUGCCUUUGAUUCCUCAUUGGUAAAUAGGUACAUACUAGUGACAUCACAGGUUGGUUAUGAAGUCACAUCACAGGUUUUAAAUGAAAUAAUAUAAAGAAAAAGGGAAUGAAUAAAAGCUUAGCUUAACCUACAUAAAGCUCUAUAUACUUAAUUGUUGUUACUCUUAUUAUUCUAUGCCAGUAUAAGCCCUCAAGUGUUUUCAAUGUGUUUUAAAAGAUUUCUAACUGGUCUCCCUAACAUAAGACCCAAUAAAUUCAUUGUCUUGAUUGUCAGAAUUAUAUUUUAAAAAACUAAAUCUGAUCAUGUCACUUCCCUGCCCCAAAGCCUCUAAUGUUCUUGUU
This is a long non-coding RNA of Cebus imitator (Panamanian white-faced capuchin), 1040 nucleotides long. RefSeq lists it as uncharacterized. The transcript has 3 exons. The record is from RefSeq and is a predicted model, not a curated record. Lineage: Eukaryota; Metazoa; Chordata; Mammalia; Primates; Cebidae.